Molecule: ribosomal RNA, 253 nt
Filed under: uncultured bacterium
Lineage: Bacteria
Description: partial 16S ribosomal RNA
Rfam family: Bacterial small subunit ribosomal RNA
Source: RNAcentral
UACGGGGGGGGCAAGCGUUGUUCGGAAUUACUGGGCGUAAAGGGUUCGUAGGUGGCUUGCUAAGUCAGACGUGAAAUCCCUCAGCUUAACUGGGGAACUGCGUCUGAUACUGGCGAGCUUGAGUGCAGGAGAGGAACGCGGAAUUCCAGGUGUAGCGGUGAAAUGCGUAGAUAUCUGGAGGAACACCGGUGGCGAAGGCGGCGUUCUGGGCUGCAACUGACACUGAUGAACGAAAGCCAGGGGAGCAAACGGG